This 253-nucleotide ribosomal RNA is filed under the name uncultured bacterium. RNAcentral describes it as "partial 16S ribosomal RNA". It matches the Rfam family "Bacterial small subunit ribosomal RNA", at positions 524 to 776 of the family's 1533-position model. The record is from RNAcentral.
UACGUAGGGUGCGAGCGUUGUCCGGAAUUAUUGGGCGUAAAGGGCUCGUAGGCGGUUUGUCACGUCGGGAGUGAAAACUCAGGGCUUAACCCUGAGCCUGCUUCCGAUACGGGCAGACUAGAGGUAUGCAGGGGAGGACGGAAUUCCUGGUGUAGCGGUGAAAUGCGCAGAUAUCAGGAGGAACACCGGUGGCGAAGGCGGUUCUCUGGGCAUUACCUGACGCUGAGGAGCGAAAGUGUGGGGAGCGAACAGG